Columba livia (rock pigeon) is the source of this 2226-nucleotide long non-coding RNA. RefSeq lists it as uncharacterized. NCBI's taxonomy places the organism in Eukaryota, Metazoa, Chordata, Aves, Columbiformes, Columbidae. The transcript is spliced from 4 exons. The record is from RefSeq and is a predicted model, not a curated record.
CACCGCAACAUGGGGCUAAACAAGUUGACAGCUUUUCUUCCCAAGAUUUCUUUUGAUUUUUUCAGGUCCAAAUUCUACUCUCACAUAUACCUCUUCACACAGUGAUGGUAAACAGAGCAGAAUUCAGUCCUUAAUAUACACAGCAAAUUACUCAAAGAGGAGUUGUCAACCCUGUUUUACCAGAUGGAGUUAAAACCAUUCAGCCAACAGCUAUCAGCUGGAUCAGCUGCUAAGAAAAGGAGAUGGGGUCUGAGUGCUAAUGAAGCACAGUAGUCAUUCAGAGCACAUUGGGAAAUGGCAGCAAGCAAGGCUGAGGCUGUUUGGGAUGAACCGUGAGCCACAGGCAGCACAUUUUCCAGCUCAAGAUGGAAGCAAUAAGUAUUAAAUUCCUACAACAGAAUUAUAAGGUAGUUAAGACACACAGUUAUCGUUAAAGUAGUCCUUUUGUCUUUUGCCUUUAGAAAAAUUGUAAGAAAAAGUAUCUAGGGAGAUACCUACAUUAGUGUUAAGUGCUCAGUUUUAUACCUCGCAGUUUAAAACACUUCAAGUGAAAUAAUCUAUAAGCUAGCAUCAGUAGAGAUGUAGAGAUAGAAGGAAGAGUUUACAUUUUUAAGGUAGCAUCCAAAGGACCAAAAAGGGUGGAAAAAAGAAAGGAAGCUUAAACUGUGGACAUCCUGCUUUCUGGAUGGAUAUCGAGGAGCCAGACAGGCACAAUAUGGAAGGAGAGCAUUCUCCCACCUUGCAGUGUCAUGGCUGGUGAGCUCAGAAGAUCUGGAGAGAUCUCCUCAUGCCAAGUACCUGGAAGGAAUUUACAAUCCACUGUGAAAUGCUCAGUCUUCCUGGCCUUUUGUAGGAUAUUCACUGGAACAUUGGACACUAAACCAAUCCACCUGUGAGAUGUGCAUUUCUAUGGCUAUUUUCCUCUUCUAGAAAACUUACCUUGUUAAUAUUUACAGUGCAAUAAUGAUUAUCUCAUUCCUGCCAGGGCAGGGGAAAUCUAUCAAGCUAUUAGUUUUGUGAACACUUCAGGCAGUUCUGGCUCUUAAAGCAAAGAGUCUAUGGAGAGCAGCAGUUCACUCAAUGUUAUAGAAUUAACAAAAACCUCUUUUUCUCCUGUAUUUUCAGAUCUGCUUCUUGCAAGCAUAACAUGUACAUAGAUAGCUCUUGCAAAGCAAACACCAUCAAGUCUGCAUAACUGAUCUGAAGUUACUAGUUCCAUUUUUUCUUGUUCAGUAUUAGCCUCAAAAGCCAUUGCUCCAGCCUGUGCCAGCUGGCAUACAAGAAUGCAGGAGGGAAAACAGAUUCUUUUCUUUCACUAUGAAAUCCUCACUGUUCCUCCAUCAGAUUUCUAGCCAGCCCAAAUAGAGCUGCACACUUGGUGGUGUGGAAACAACCAAUAGGUUCACUGUACUAAUCACUGUCUUCUUUCAUUAACAUAAUCUCACUGAUAACUACUGUACUGCAGAAGGCAAUCUAGGAGAAAAGCUCCUAAGAAAAUUUGAUUUAGCUACUAGAUUCAAUACUGGUAAUAUCCAAGUGAAUAUAACUUAAAUGGCCUGGGCCAUUUAAGGAGUGAGACUAGGAGACCUAAAAGUCAUCUCUGGCCUUAAAGGUCUCUGAAUUUAUGGCAUCACUGAGAGGACAGUAUGUUAACUCUUAGCAGCCAAUCUUGACAAAAUAAAAUGCCAUCUCACUAUUUUUUGCCUCUUCUAUAGUUUUUUGCACCUCCAAAAAAAAUCAGAAAGCGGGAUGUACCUUGUUAUCCAGAACCCUUCUAUAAUGAGUAGUUUUCGCAGACCCUCCACAUCCAUACCUUACCCUGCAGCACCUUGUUAAUUGUUUCCUGAACAAACUGGCCUCAUUGCUGAACUUCUGACACAGGCCUGUAUUUUUACAUAAAGCCAGGGUUCUCAAGAUAGCUAGAAUUUCAAGGCAUUUUUUAAUUGGAUGUCUUCUGCACCCUCUGCAUGCCUUCCCCUUGCACCUUCUUUCCCCUUCUACUGAAAGACAGUACCUUUCAGCAAAGAUACUUCCUUAAGUGAAUAUCAGCUUCACCACAAUUCAGUAAAAAAAUUAAACUCAAUUUCAUCUUGUUUUUCUAAUGUUACAAGGCUGAGCAUCUAAGUGAACAUCUGUUGUCCAAGUACAAACAACACCUCAAUUAUAAAGGAAAAAGUCUUCAAAAUCCUAAGCAGACUCAGUACUGAAAGGAAAGAAACAAAAAAA